Molecule: ribosomal RNA, 433 nt
Filed under: uncultured bacterium
Lineage: Bacteria
Description: partial 16S ribosomal RNA
Rfam family: Bacterial small subunit ribosomal RNA
Source: RNAcentral
AACGAACGCUGGCGGCAGGCCUAACACAUGCAAGUCGAGCGAGGACUUCGGUCCUAGCGGCGGACGGGUGAGUAACGCGUGGGAACGUGCCCUUUGCUUCGGAAUAGCCCUGGGAAACUGGGAGUAAUACCGGAUGAGCCCUUUGGGGGAAAGAUUUAUCGGCGAAGGAUCGGCCCGCGUUGGAUUAGGUAGUUGGUGGGGUAAUGGCCUACCAAGCCGACGAUCCAUAGCUGGUUUGAGAGGAUGAUCAGCCACACUGGGACUGAGACACGGCCCAGACUCCUACGGGAGGCAGCAGUGGGGAAUCUUAGACAAUGGGGGAAACCCUGAUCUAGCCAUGCCGCGUGAGCGAUGAAGGCCUUAGGGUUGUAAAGCUCUUUCAGCUGGGAAGAUGAUGACGGUACCAGCAGAAGAAGCCCCGGCUAACUCCGUG